AGCAGCCGCGGUAAUUCCAGCUCCAAUAGCGUAUAUUAAAGUUGCUGCAGUUAAAAAGCUCGUAGCUGAAUUUCGGGACUGAUAUGUCGGUCGUGCCUCGGUACGUACUGGUAUUUUUGGUUUCUCCCUUCUGACGAACCUUGAUGUCAUUAAUUUGGUGUC
This 162-nucleotide ribosomal RNA is filed under the name uncultured Glomus. RNAcentral's name for it is "partial 18S ribosomal RNA". It matches the Rfam family "Eukaryotic small subunit ribosomal RNA", at positions 569 to 730 of the family's 1831-position model. The record is from RNAcentral. Lineage: Eukaryota; Fungi; Glomeromycota; Glomeromycetes; Glomerales; Glomeraceae.